CCUUGUGGAGGAGGACGCCGAAGGUGGGGCUAAUGACUGGGGUGAAGUCGUAACAAGGUAGCCGUACCGGAAGGUGCGGCUGGAUCACCUCCUAACAGGGAGACAACAAAAUGUUUAAUAUUAUUAUUUUGUCACCUUAGGUCGAUCGGUAUCUCACGUUCUUAAUUCGUUAAGAAUUUCAUUUCCUAAGUUUUUCUAGGUCACACCCAUUAUUUUUCCUGGGCCAUUAGCUCAGGUGGUUAGAGCGCACCCCUGAUAAGGGUGAGGUCCCUGGUUCAAGUCCAGGAUGGCCCAUAUCUCUAUGUUGGGGGUAUAGCUCAGUUGGUAGAGCGCCUGCUUUGCAAGCAGGAUGUCAGCGGUUCGAGUCCGCUUACCUCCACUGAUUACCACCUCUUCCAUAACCCAUAGAAAGGAAAUGUUUUGAGUUGUGAUCAUUAUUCUGAACGAAUCUAGCUUCCUAAUGAAAUCAUUAAGAUGCUGGACUCAUUGAAUUAAUUUUCAUUGUUUUCAGAGAACCUUGACAACUGCAUAGAUUAUUUUUAAAGACAAUAAGCAUCUUUAAUGAUGCAGAUUUAUUAUUUGUGCGAAUGCAUUAAUAACAAUUCUAUUAAGCUGAUGCUUCAAUUUUUGAAGUUAUUGGUCAAGCUACAAAGGGCUCACGGAGGAUACCUAGGCACACAGA
Molecule: unclassified non-coding RNA, 682 nt
Filed under: uncultured Prochlorococcus sp.
Lineage: Bacteria; Bacillati; Cyanobacteriota; Cyanophyceae; Synechococcales; Prochlorococcaceae
Description: partial may contain 16S ribosomal RNA, 16S-23S ribosomal RNA intergenic spacer, and 23S ribosomal RNA
Rfam family: Bacterial small subunit ribosomal RNA (bases 1-95)
Source: RNAcentral